GCUGGGCAUGGUGGAGCACACCUGUAAUCCUAGCAGAUUGGAGGCUGAGGCAAGAGAAUCAUGAGUUCAAAGCCAGCCUCAGCAAAAUUGAGGUGCUAAGCAACUCAGUGAGACCCUGUCUCUA
RNAcentral lists this small RNA (124 nucleotides) under Marmota monax (woodchuck). The record is from RNAcentral. Lineage: Eukaryota; Metazoa; Chordata; Mammalia; Rodentia; Sciuridae.